GACCCCGGCGCCGGUGGCGAUGACGGACCCGCCGGGCGCGCUGGAGAAGGACGCCGUCACGAUCGGCCGCGCGCUGGAGGCUGUGGGCGCGAUGGUCGGGGACAGGCCGGUGGAGCAGAGCGACGCGGCGGCCGUCCAGGUCGCGGAGCUGUGCGCCACGGGGUCCGACUCCACCGUCCCCGGAGGCCUAGCCGCGGCGGCGCAGUCGGCGGCCGACUAGAACGCCCGCGCCGCGCGCGACGAGGACAAGGUCAAGCUCCGGAACGUCCUCUCGAACGCGAGGGAGAAGCUGCCGGCGGACAAGGGGGCGACGUGGGAGGACGCCGAGAGGGUGGUGUCCGCGGAGAUACGGAACAAGCUGGACAUGGCGACCACGCCGGGCGGCAUGGCGGACGCGGUGACUACAGCGGCCCGGCUCAACCAGGAGCGCCCGAGGCCAUAGGUCGUCGUGGCCUUUAUAUCCCACUAGCUAGCUCCUCUCCUCU
Molecule: RNA transcript, 485 nt
Organism: Zea mays
Lineage: Eukaryota; Viridiplantae; Streptophyta; Magnoliopsida; Poales; Poaceae
Gene name: seed maturation protein pseudogene
Exons: 2
Source: RefSeq, marked validated